UGGAGAUAAAGAAUGAGAUUCUCAAACAUGAAGGGCGCAACCCAUAGGACCAGUGCUGGCUGGAGCAGCCUUCCAAACACACAGUCAACAGAACAACAGCGGCCAUCAGUUUGGGGAUCGUUUCCAUUCUAAGGGACAUCAAGACACAGAGGGAAGAAUACUUUGGAAAGAAGCCAGCACCCGGACCACUGACUCCACAGAAACUGCAGACACACAGCUUGUUCAGAGACAAGGAAAUGGGGGCAUCUGCCUGUCCUAAGCUUUACGGACACUGGGGACAGGCACCUGUACUAGAUUCUGGCAUAUUCAGUACUUUUUUUGUGGUAAUGUAGUCCACUUUUUGUUUAUUUGGGUUACCCAGAACCCAUAAUUCAUCCCUUACCAAAUUGAAACUUUGCCCAUGCAUUACCCAUUAUAAAUUAGUUCUCAACUCUGUCAUUCAUGAAGUUAGAGCUAGGCCAUCUGCUCUGAAAAAAGAAUUACCUACUGGGUAUCUCUGGCUAAUAAAAGGUUGCAUGUAUUUGCU
This 526-nucleotide long non-coding RNA is filed under the name Rattus norvegicus (Norway rat). Its description in RNAcentral is "long non-coding RNA NONRATT010520". Lineage: Eukaryota; Metazoa; Chordata; Mammalia; Rodentia; Muridae. The record is from RNAcentral.